GACGAACGCUGGCGGCGUGCUUAACACAUGCAAGUCGAACGGAAAGACCCUGCUUUUGUGGGGUGCUCGAGUGGCGAACGGGUGAGUAACACGUGAGUAACCUGCCCUUGACUUUGGGAUAACUUCAGGAAACUGGGGCUAAUACCGGAUAGGAGCUCCUGCUGCAUGUUGGGGGUUGGAAAGUUUCGGCGGUUGGGGAUGGACUCGCGGCUUAUCAGCUUGUUGGUGGGGUAGUGGCUUACCAAGGCUUUGACGGGUAGCCGGCCUGAGAGGGUGACCGGCCACAUUGGGACUGAGAUACGGCCCAGGCUCCUACGGGAGGCAGCAGUGGGGAAUAUUGCACAAUGGGCGGAAGCCUGAUGCAGCAACGCCGCGUGCGGGAUGACGGCCUUCGGGUUGUAAACCGCUUUCGCCUGUGACGAAGCGUGAGUGACGGUAAUGGGUAAAGAAGCACCGGCUAACUACGUG
RNAcentral lists this ribosomal RNA (468 nucleotides) under uncultured bacterium. RNAcentral's name for it is "partial 16S ribosomal RNA". It matches the Rfam family "Bacterial small subunit ribosomal RNA", at positions 28 to 507 of the family's 1533-position model. The record is from RNAcentral.